UUACGACCACAUUACGGUGAAAUACCUAUUUCCGUACUAUCACCGAAGGUAAGCAACCUCGAGCAUUGUCUGUACUUAGAUGGGUGACCGCUUGGCAAUGCCAGGUGCUGUAA
Acanthosepion pharaonis is the source of this 113-nucleotide non-coding RNA. NCBI's taxonomy places the organism in Eukaryota, Metazoa, Mollusca, Cephalopoda, Sepiida, Sepiidae. The record is from the annotation of a GenBank genome assembly.